GAUGAACGCUGGCGGCGUGCCUAAUACAUGCAAGUCGAGCGAACGGACGAGAAGCUUGCUUCUCUGAUGUUAGCGGCGGACGGGUGAGUAACACGUGGAUAACCUACCUAUAAGACUGGGAUAACUUCGGGAAACCGGAGCUAAUACCGGAUAAUAUUUUGAACCGCAUGGUUCAAAAGUGAAAGACGGUCUUGCUGUCACUUAUAGAUGGAUCCGCGCUGCAUUAGCUAGUUGGUAAGGUAACGGCUUACCAAGGCAACGAUGCAUAGCCGACCUGAGAGGGUGAUCGGCCACACUGGAACUGAGACACGGUCCAGACUCCUACGGGAGGCAGCAGUAGGGAAUCUUCCGCAAUGGGCGAAAGCCUGACGGAGCAACGCCGCGUGAGUGAUGAAGGUCUUCGGAUCGUAAAACUCUGUUAUUAGGGAAGAACAUAUGUGUAAGUAACUGUGCACAUCUUGACGGUACCUAAUCAGAAAGCCACGGCUAACUGCGUGCCAGCAGCCGCGGUAAUACGUAGGUGGCAAGCGUUAUCCGGAAUUAUUGGGCGUAAAGCGCGCGUAGGCGGUUUUUUAAGUCUGAUGUGAAAGCCCACGGCUCAACCGUGGAGGGUCAUUGGAAACUGGAAAACUUGAGUGCAGAAGAGGAAAGUGGAAUUCCAUGUGUAGCGGUGAAAUGCGCAGAGAUAUGGAGGAACACCAGUGGCGAAGGCGACUUUCUGGUCUGUAACUGACGCUGAUGUGCGAAAGCGUGGGGAUCAAACAAGAUUAGAUACCCUGGUAGUCCACGCCGUAAACGAUGAGUGCUAAGUGUUAGGGGGUUUCCGCCCCUUAGUGCUGCAGCUAACGCAUUAAGCACUCCGCCUGGGGAGUACGACCGCAAGGUUGAAACUCAAAGGAAUUGACGGGGACCUGCACAAGCGGUGGAGCAUGUGGUUUAAUUCGAAGCAACGCGAAGAACCUUACCAAAUCUUGACAUCCUUUGACAACUCUAGAGAUAGAGCCUUCCCCUUCGGGGGACAAAGUGACAGGUGGUGCAUGGUUGUCGUCAGCUCGUGUCGUGAGAUGUUGGGUUAAGUCCCGCAACGAGCGCAACCCUUAAGCUUAGUUGCCAUCAUUAAGUUGGGCACUCUAAGUUGACUGCCGGUGACAAACCGGAGGAAGGUGGGGAUGACGUCAAAUCAUCAUGCCCCUUAUGAUUUGGGCUACACACGUGCUACAAUGGACAAUACAAAGGGCAGCGAAACCGCGAGGUCAAGCAAAUCCCAUAAAGUUGUUCUCAGUUCGGAUUGUAGUCUGCAACUCGACUACAUGAAGCUGGAAUCGCUAGUAAUCGUAGAUCAGCAUGCUACGGUGAAUACGUUCCCGGGUCU
Molecule: ribosomal RNA, 1372 nt
Filed under: uncultured bacterium
Lineage: Bacteria
Description: bacterial SSU rRNA
Rfam family: Bacterial small subunit ribosomal RNA
Source: RNAcentral